Molecule: ribosomal RNA, 406 nt
Filed under: uncultured bacterium
Lineage: Bacteria
Description: partial 16S ribosomal RNA
Rfam family: Bacterial small subunit ribosomal RNA
Source: RNAcentral
GAUGAACGCUAGCUACAGGCUUAACACAUGCAAGUCGAGGGACCGGCGCACGGGUGAGUAACACGUAUCCAACCUGCCCUUUACUCGGGGAUAGCCUUUCGAAUGAAAGAUUAAUACCCGAUAUAAAGGAUGGGGAUGCGUUCCUUUAGGUUGUUUGUGAGGUAGCGGCUCACCAAGCCUUCGAUGGAUAGGGGUUCUGAGAGGAAGGUCCACGAGAUUGGAACCUAGACACGGGCCAAACUCGUACGGGAGGCGGCAGUGAGGAAUAUUGGUCAAUGGGCGGUAUCCGGAACCAGCCAAGUAUCGUGAAGGAUGAAGGCGUAUGGGUCGUUAACUUCUGUUAUAUAAGAAUAUGUAUUAUAUGAAUAAGGAUCGGCUAACUCCGUGCCAGCAGCCGCGGUAAUAC